This 26-nucleotide non-coding RNA is filed under the name Mus musculus (house mouse). Lineage: Eukaryota; Metazoa; Chordata; Mammalia; Rodentia; Muridae. The record is from RNAcentral.
UGCAGGCAUCUACAACACCAUUUUCU